GAUGAACGCUGGCGGCGUGCUUAACACAUGCAAGUCGAACGGAAAGGCCCAAGCUUGCUUGGGUACUCGAGUGGCGAACGGGUGAGUAACACGUGGGUGAUCUGCCCUGCACUUCGGGAUAAGCCUGGGAAACUGGGUCUAAUACCGGAUAGGACCACUUCUUGGAUGUUGUGGUGGAAAGAUUUUUCGGUGUGGGGUGUGGUCGCGGCCUAUCACCGUUUUUGGGUGGGGUUGGCCUACCCAGGGGUCGACGGGGAGACCGCCCGUGAGGGUGUGCCGGCCCACUGGGGGUCAGAUACGGGGCAGACUCCCACGCGGGGCAGAAGUGGGGAAUAUUGCACAAAGGGCGCGAGCCUGAGGCAGCGACGCCGCGUGGGGGAGGACGGCGUUCUGGGUGUAAACACCUUUCUCUAGUGACGAAGCGUUUUUGUGACGGUACCGGGAGAAGAAGCACCGGCUAACUACGUG
This 468-nucleotide ribosomal RNA is filed under the name uncultured bacterium. Its description in RNAcentral is "partial 16S ribosomal RNA". It matches the Rfam family "Bacterial small subunit ribosomal RNA", at positions 28 to 507 of the family's 1533-position model. The record is from RNAcentral.